RNAcentral lists this ribosomal RNA (500 nucleotides) under uncultured bacterium. RNAcentral describes it as "bacterial SSU rRNA". It matches the Rfam family "Bacterial small subunit ribosomal RNA", at positions 223 to 727 of the family's 1533-position model. The record is from RNAcentral.
AGAAAAGCUCGCGGCUGACUAGCUAGUUGGUAAGGUAAUGGCUUACCAAGGCGACGAUCAGUAUCUGGUUUGAGAGGACGAUCAGACACACUGGAACUGAGACACGGUCCAGACUCCUACGGGAGGCAGCAGUGGGGAAUUUUCCGCAAUGGGCGAAAGCCUGACGGAGCAAUACCGCGUGAGGGAAGACGGCCUAUGGGUUGUAAACCUCUUUUUUCAGGGAGGAAUCAAUGACGUGUACCUGAAGAAUAAGCAUCGGCUAACUUCCGUGCCCAGCAGCCGCGGUAAGACGGAGGAUGCAAGUGUUAUCCGGAAUCACUGGCCGUAAAGCGUCUGUAGGUGGUUUAAUAAGUCAACUGUUAAAUCUUGGGGCUCAACCUCAAAAUCGCAGUCGAAACUAUUAGACUAGAGUAUUGUAGGGGUAAAGGGAAAUUUCCAGUGGAACCGGUGAAAAUGCCUUAAAAAUUUGGAAAGAACCACCGAUGGGCGAAAGGCCCCUU